Molecule: non-coding RNA, 987 nt
Organism: Salvelinus sp. IW2-2015
Lineage: Eukaryota; Metazoa; Chordata; Actinopteri; Salmoniformes; Salmonidae
Source: RefSeq, a predicted model, not a curated record
AUCUAAAUUAAAGUAUGGCAUUAUAAUACUGUAUGUUGGAWAACUAAGCGCUGCAAAAGACCUACCACGUUCGCAGCCAUGGUGGGACAUAGAAGGUGCUUCUUGCUGCAGAGUGUUUGAUUUGACGGCUUUUGAAGGCAUUUGGUUUACAUUCUCGAUGGUUACACCAGGGAUAUUAGAAAAACUCUAGUAUKAUCUAGUAUCUACUGUGCUAAUGGAAGUUUAAUGAGUAAUAUACUUGCUAUUUUGGCCAGGUUGGCCAUGUCUCGGGUCGACAGCGCGCGUGUUUGAGUUGGAAUUUGGACCAGGGAAGGUGUUCUGRGGGUUUUCGCACAAGAUACAAUGUGGCACCGUAAGAUAUCGUAACCCUUUUAACCACGAUGUUUUCUUCGAAUUAAACGAGUAAUAUUUCUGCUGGCAUUGGGUAGGUAGGCUAUCCGAAAUCGAAGGACAAGAAAACACCUGCAUCACAUGGGGAUAUUUUUAUACCGGUUGGUGGCUCUAGCACUGCACACUCCCCUUGUCUGUGGCACCUCAAACGCCAUUGAAGUUGUCAAGAACUACUCCAAAGCCUAUGAGGACAUCGCCCUUCUGUGCAGAAGAGAGAAGCUCAAGUUCGGCACCUGCCUCAUUAACCGGCUGUAAUGUUACUAUAAGAAGGACUGUGGAAGGGAGUACAUGUUGAUGAAAUUAAUCUGCUCAGUUCUGAUGAAAGGGGUGAAGGGGAUUUGAGAAGAGCCACUAAUGGCUGAAGUUGGGUUUCUGCCUCCUGAGCUGACAUGAAAGAGUUCCACCCCGUGUAUUUAAAAAUUCUAACGGGUUGAGGAUUAAAUAUUAAACACUGCAGACUUGAGAAUCUAUUCCUCCGCUGAGGAAUGAAAAUCCUGGGAGUGUUCCUGACCUGCGGUCCACAGAGAGUGAGCUCGAACCAGAGCAGUGCCCAUGAGUACCCAGACUGCCGUGAUGGGGGCAGCGAGGCCAGCCUGC